This 246-nucleotide long non-coding RNA is filed under the name Lathyrus oleraceus (garden pea). RNAcentral describes it as "Pisum sativum (pea) long non-coding RNA (PSAT_LNC033779)". Lineage: Eukaryota; Viridiplantae; Streptophyta; Magnoliopsida; Fabales; Fabaceae. The record is from RNAcentral.
AAAAAAUAUGGGAGAUGUGCAUGAUAUUUAUAGAAGAAUCAAAGCAUGCAUGCACCAAUGCACUAGACUCCACACACAUAUAACACAUGCAUGUACCAAUGCAUGUGUCACACACACACAUGCACACAUGCAUACACAAUGCAUGUGGCGCCUACAUGCAUUGACUUUGCAUGCAUGCGCCAAGGCUUUAAGCACCUCCUAUCUAGGUUAGUUGACUUACACAUCAAUAGAAAAAAAUGGUUAUUU